This is a long non-coding RNA of Salvia miltiorrhiza (redroot sage), 1120 nucleotides long. RefSeq lists it as uncharacterized. The record is from RefSeq and is a predicted model, not a curated record. The transcript has 3 exons. NCBI's taxonomy places the organism in Eukaryota, Viridiplantae, Streptophyta, Magnoliopsida, Lamiales, Lamiaceae.
CCGCUCUUUUAUAUAUUUUAAAUCCAGUAAUGAGUGUGUAUUUUUGUUCAUCAGUGAAUGAAAAUGGAUAUUAUUCUGAUAUGAAUUCAGCUUAUGAUCCUGAAUUUAUAUUGUUAAAGCAGUCAAUGAUAUUAUUUCAGAGUUAUAACUGACUUAGCAAAGUCACGUUAUUUAUUUAAGCGAGAUGGAAUUAGAUUUUAUUCUUACUCAAGUUGUGGAUUAUUUCAGACUCGUGAGUUAAUUAAAUCUGCGGAUUUAAUUUAGAUAUCAGAUCAAUGAACGAAUUAAAUCUACGGAUUUAAUUUAGAUUCAUUUUAUAACUUAUCGUUUUUAGUAAGAUAUCACAUGUCGAAAUCGGGAUUUAUUUAAAUAAACAGUACAAGCAAAUAUGAGCACGUGAUUCACUUUACAGUUACAGAAUCACCGAGUCAGAGAAAAUACAUCAAUAAUUCUCCUCUACAUUUUUUUUUUCCUUUCUUUUUCUUCUCUUUUUCUUUCCAUUAAACUUUGUUCCCCAACUUCUAUACACCACUAUCAUUAUGUUUUUCUUUCUUUUUCCCCACCAUUACACUCAAGUCUUCACCAAUGAAUUAUUAGUAUCAACCCCAGCCAACAAACUCCCUACUUCAUUCACUGUCCGUCAAGUUUCAAGGGGAGUAAAGUACUCUUCUUCUUGCCAAACUUCAAGGAGGUAAGCCUUCUUUGAAUUCUCUUUAAUGCACUCAGGAUUCCACCUACAUUUAUGAACAGCAACUUGGUUAUUUCAGUUCAUUUUGCUGCAUAUAAUCCAACAACGAAACAGCCAUUCAACAAGACAUUCAAGGUCAAGCACGAGAUUAAUAAUCAGUCAAGGAGCUACUGUACCACAAAAAGUUUCUAACAGGUUGAGCAGCUGCCGAUGGUGAUGAAGUGACGAGCGGGAUUCUUUUGUCUUAUUAUGUAUUAAUGAACUCUAGGGUUACAUGUCUUCAUACAUGUAAUCAGAAUCAUAUUCCGCUGCGUACUCAGAAGUUUUAUGUUUAUUUGGCUAAGUCAGAGAUAUCUGAACUUACUAGUUAUUUGAGUCUAUACGACUAAACUUCUGUUAUAUUAUAAAUAUUCCUUUUGUUAAAUUAUGAAA